CAGUCGCCGCGGUAAAACGGAGGGUGCAAGCGUUAAUCGGAAUUACUGGGCGUAAAGCGCACGCAGGCGGUCUGACAAGUCAGAUGUGAAAUCCCCGGGCUUAACCUGGGAACUGCAUUUGAAACUGUCAGACUGGAGUCUUGUAGAGGGGGGUAGAAUUCCAGGUGUAGCGGUGAAAUGCGUAGAGAUCUGGAGGAAUACCGGUGGCGAAGGCGGCCCCCUGGACAAAGACUGACGCUCAGGUGCGAAAGCGUGGGGAGCAAACAGGAUUAGAUACCCCUGUAGUCCCUGUCUCUUAUAA
Molecule: ribosomal RNA, 301 nt
Filed under: uncultured bacterium
Lineage: Bacteria
Description: partial 16S ribosomal RNA
Rfam family: Bacterial small subunit ribosomal RNA
Source: RNAcentral